RNAcentral lists this unclassified non-coding RNA (191 nucleotides) under rhizosphere metagenome. RNAcentral describes it as "partial ribosomal RNA internal transcribed spacer region". The record is from RNAcentral.
AAAGGAUGUCACUUGUGACAUACCCCAUCCGUGUCUAUAUACUCUUGUUGCUUUGGCAGGCCGUGGUCUUGACCCUGUGGGCUUUAUGCCUGCAAGUGCCUGCCAGAGGCCCGAAACUCUUUGUCAUCAGUGGCCUCUCUGAGUAACUUAUACAAUAAGUCAAAACUUUCAACAACGGAUCUCUUGGUUCU